This is a long non-coding RNA of Thalassophryne amazonica, 745 nucleotides long. RefSeq lists it as uncharacterized. The transcript has 3 exons. NCBI's taxonomy places the organism in Eukaryota, Metazoa, Chordata, Actinopteri, Batrachoidiformes, Batrachoididae. The record is from RefSeq and is a predicted model, not a curated record.
AGAAGACCAUAACAGGUUGGUUUAACACAAAAAGGUAAAUAUUACUCACAGACAUAUGCUCUUUAGGGUUUUAGCAGGGCAAAAAUAAGAUAAAGCAAAAUAAAAUAAAAAACCAAAGCAGAAGAUCAAAGUAUUGCUUCAUUGAUUGAAGGUUCAAAGUAUCCACCACACCCUGCUCUACUUGGGGAAGGUCUGCCAAUGUUCCCACGAAGACAGGGAGGAGAAGGACCGUGGCUCAUGGCAAGCAGUAAACAGAGCGGAGAGGAGUGAAAAUUCACACAGUCUCUUCCUCCGCAGUCCACGUUGACACUGCUGCUGCUUUGAUUAGGGCAGAAUGGGAUGUUGCUUUGACGGUGAGAGUAUCAUGGUUGGGCCCCAAAACAUGCAUGACACCACGUGCACACGUGUAUGUGUGGUUAAAUUUUGCAAAUGACGGAAAUCCGUCAUGGUGAUGGAGAACUUUAACCCAUGAUCUUUCUUUCAAUGACCAUGUUGUUCGUAGGUCAUUUGUAAGGUCUUGGGAUUUUGUGAUUUUCUCUUUUCAGCUCUAUUCAGGCCAUAGUCAUUGGGGGCUGUCACAUCAAUAAUUUUUGCUGUCUUCUCUUGCUUGUUUCAGAUGACAGUAUCAGGUUUAACUGCACCUCCUUCAAUAAGUCUUCCUGCUGGGAUCUCUUUGUCGUAGAAGAUAGUCACUUUUCCGCUGGAUGAGACUGGUGCUGGCUCAUGCUCCAAAACGUUUCUUCAA